AGUGAACGCUGGCGGUAGGCCUAACACAUGCAAGUCGAACGGCAGCACAGUAAGAGCUUGCUCUUACGGGUGGCGAGUGGCGGACGGGUGAGGAAUACAUCGGAAUCUACUUUUUCGUGGGGGAUAACGUAGGGAAACUUACGCUAAUACCGCAUACGACCUACGGGUGAAAGCAGGGGAUCUUCGGACCUUGCGCGAUUGAAUGAGCCGAUGUCGGAUUAGCUAGUUGGCGGGGUAAAGGCCCACCAAGGCGACGAUCCGUAGCUGGUCUGAGAGGAUGAUCGGCCACACUGGAACUGAGACACGGUCCAGACUCCUACGGUAGGCAGCAGUGGGGAAUAUUGGACAAUGGUCGCAAGCCUGAUCCAGCCAUACCGCGUGGGUGAAGAAGGCCUUCGGGUUGUAAAGCCCUUUUGUUGGGAAAGAAAAGCAGCAGGUUAAUACCCCGCUGUUCUGACGGUACCCAAAGAAUAAGCACCGGCUAACUUCGUG
This 492-nucleotide ribosomal RNA is filed under the name uncultured bacterium. RNAcentral describes it as "partial 16S ribosomal RNA". It matches the Rfam family "Bacterial small subunit ribosomal RNA", at positions 29 to 507 of the family's 1533-position model. The record is from RNAcentral.